This 484-nucleotide ribosomal RNA is filed under the name uncultured bacterium. RNAcentral's name for it is "partial 16S ribosomal RNA". It matches the Rfam family "Bacterial small subunit ribosomal RNA", at positions 28 to 507 of the family's 1533-position model. The record is from RNAcentral.
AUUGAACGCUGGCGGCAUGCUUUACACAUGCAAGUCGAACGGCAGCGCGGGCUUCGGCCUGGCGGCGAGUGGCGAACGGGUGAGUAAUGCAUCGGAACGUGCCCAGUAGUGGGGGAUAGCCCGGCGAAAGACGGAUUAAUACCGCAUACGACCUGAGGGUGAAAGCGGGGGACCGAAAGGCCUCGCGCUAUUGGAGCGGCCGAUGUCGGAUUAGCUAGUUGGUGGGGUAAAGGCUUACCAAGGCGACGAUCCGUAGCUGGUCUGAGAGGACGACCAGCCACACUGGGACUGAGCCACGGCCCAGACUCCUACGGGAGGCAGCAGUGGGGAAUUUUGGACAAUGGGGGCAACCCUGAUCCAGCCAUGCCGCGUGCGGGAAGAAGGCCUUCGGGUUGUAAACCGCUUUUGUUCGGGAAGAAAUCCUCUGGGCUAAUACCCCGGGGGGAUGACGGUACCGGAAGAAUAAGCACCGGCUAACUACGUG